RNAcentral lists this ribosomal RNA (486 nucleotides) under uncultured bacterium. Its description in RNAcentral is "bacterial SSU rRNA". It matches the Rfam family "Bacterial small subunit ribosomal RNA", at positions 33 to 507 of the family's 1533-position model. The record is from RNAcentral.
AGGAGACGCUGGCGGCGUGGAUUAGGCAUGCAAGUCGAACGGUAUCAUCCUUCGGGGGUGAGAGAGUGGCGAACUGGUGAGUAACACGUAGGUUAUCUACCCUCAAGACGGGGACAACCCAGGGAAACUUGGGCUAAUACCGGAUGUGAGCAACUUUUAGUUGUUUGAAAGGUGGCGUAAGCUGUCGCUUGGGGAUGAGCCUGCGUCCUAUUAGUUAGUUGGUGAGGUAACGGCUCACCUAGGCAAUGAUAGGUAGGCGGCCUUAACGGGUGGUCGCCCACACUGGGAUUGAGAUACGGCCCAGACUCCUACGGGAGGCAGCAGUCGAGAAUAGUCUACAAUGGUCGGAAGACUGAUAGUGCGACGCCGCGUGAACGAUGAAUCCCUUCGGGGUGUAAAGUUCUUUUAUAUGUGAGCAGUGCUUCUUAUAUUAACAGUAUGGGGAGAGAGAUAUUAGCAUAUGAAUAAGCAACGGCUAACUCCGUG